AUACGUAGGUGACAAGCGUUAUCCGGAUUUACUGGGCGUAAAGGGCGUGUGGGCGGUCUUGCAAGUCAGAAGUGAAAUUCCUGAGCUCAACUCGGGCGCUGCUUCUGAAACUGCAGGACUUGAGUGCUGGAGGGGAUAGCGGAAUUCCUAGUGGAGCGGUAAAAUGCGCAGAUAUUAGGAAGAACACCGGUGGCGAAGGCGGCUAUCUGGACAGUAACUGACGCUGAGGCGCGAAAGCGGGGGGAGCAAAAAGGAUUAGAUACCCUGGUAGGCCACGUCGUAAACGAUGAUUACUAGGUGUAGGGGGUAUCCACUCCCUCUGUGCCGCAGUUAACACAAUAAGUAUUCCGCCUGGGGAGUACGGUCGCAAGGUUGAAACUCAAAGGAAGUGACGGGG
RNAcentral lists this ribosomal RNA (397 nucleotides) under uncultured bacterium. RNAcentral's name for it is "partial 16S ribosomal RNA". It matches the Rfam family "Bacterial small subunit ribosomal RNA", at positions 523 to 918 of the family's 1533-position model. The record is from RNAcentral.